GGCACUUGCAACUUUAUUGCGCCAGCAAGAACAUGCAUACAGCCCAGUCUAACGUACAGGAUCAAAAAGAGACCUUAUUUCGGCUGGCAAUUACCUUACCCGCUUGUUCAUUAUCUGACUCCUGCACUCCUCCCAAGUGUUCAAUGUUAACCAGAUGGCAAAGUUAACCAGACAGAGGAAAUCCACAUAAUUACUCUAGAUGAAGCCCCCUAACUGCGGAUUAGAAGGAAAAGAGAUGAAGGGUGCUGCACUAAUAAUAACAACCAUUUUCAACCAAGGCAGGAUUCUGGGCCUAGAAUCUUCAGUGACAAAUUACCAGGAGAGGAGGAGGGAAAUGAAGAGCUGGAGGCCUAGGGAGAUGGUGUGAGGAGAGGAGACUGUGCCUUUCCACUUCUUAAUAAUUAAUGUUCUCCUGCUGCUCUGAGUCUGCAUCACCAGUGAUUCAGUUUGAGUCAGACAUCCAACAACAACUGAGCAAAAGAAUCAUCUCAGAUCCAAGCAAUGGUGACGCGCAGAUAGAAGAGACUGAGGCCAACGACCAAAGCAAAGGACAGCAGAACUGACUGACACAGCUCAGAAAAUAUCCAAAGCUCUGUAUGCUCUGGAAAGGAAGACAAGAAAUGCUAAAGACUCUGGAUAUUGCUCUGUUUCUAUAAGGUCCCACCCAUAUACCAUCUCUUCUUUUGGAUUUCCUUUGGCAGGGUUCCCUUGUAUGGAAGUUCUCAGGAGAACAACACUCUCAGAGUCCCACUGUCUCAAAGAAUUCUUAAUGGACAGCUAUACUUGGCCCCAAGGUUUCAACCUCACACUGAAGAAAGUGACAUAAGAAAACACAAGUCCCAGUGCUAUCAGGGGCUAUCUGGAAAAGCUGCUUAAACAGCAAGUGAAAGAAGGCUCUCCCCUACCCCGUUCUAGUUAUAAACAUCACAUCUCUUAACAUACGGCCAAGAUGAUGAAGCUGAUGGAACUCACCCUGAAGUUAUUUGAAGGAUCCUUGAGACUCUUUUGGAUUGCUGCUUGGAGAACAUUCCUGUAACUUGUCCCUGCUCCUUGAACUAUAAAAGCAGAAGGGAGGUACUGAGUUAAAACUUACAAAUUAUUAUCAAAUAAAUCUUCAAUAGUGGUUCAGUCCAA
RNAcentral lists this long non-coding RNA (1134 nucleotides) under Homo sapiens (human). RNAcentral's name for it is "PREDICTED lncRNA (TCONS_00163782)". Lineage: Eukaryota; Metazoa; Chordata; Mammalia; Primates; Hominidae. The record is from RNAcentral.